Molecule: long non-coding RNA, 1047 nt
Organism: Leptonychotes weddellii (Weddell seal)
Lineage: Eukaryota; Metazoa; Chordata; Mammalia; Carnivora; Phocidae
Source: RefSeq, a predicted model, not a curated record
AGCUGCGCCAAUGGGGUUUUAUUUUAUUCUUCAAUUUGGCUUGAUCGUAAGCCACGUGAGGAAACCUCUGCAUUGUGACCAGGGGGUCACGUGAUUUCUUUCACCUCCCUAACAGCUCUGGGGAAAUGAGUUUUCCAAGGGAAGAAAGGUAACUUUUUGAUCCGCUACUUCCGCAGUCUGUCUGAUGGCGGAAACUAUGGGAGACCAUUAAUGACGGGCAUGCAGACUGCAGAUAUGCGUUAGGUGGUAGACUGGAGGAGUGGACGGGUUUCACGUGUGACAAGCGUUGGUGCCUCAGCCGUGAUGAUGGAGGGGCUGGAUCUUAAGCGGGCACUUAGAAAUCCUUGCCUUCUCUUGGGCACCCGGUUUUCGCUCCUGAAAGUUGUGAGGCAAAGCAUUUUCGGUUAUUCUGUUCUGCUCUGCGACGGGAAAACUGAAAGAAGAAGAACAAAAAGAUCUAAAGUGAGGAUUGUCGUGGGAGGUCCUGAAAGUUCUGCCUGCAGGUGUCUGAAUGCACGCCUUCAGACGAGUAUCAGCAGAUCCACCUUUCUGGGACACUUUUCUGAGAUGGUGAAAUGCUUCUCUGUAUUGUGGAUUGCUUCAUUUAUGCCCCUGGGGUCUCUCUGGAGGAGCAGAGAGGUCCCCAGAGGAUCUAGGUUUCUGACUGCACUGCAGCCACCAGCCACAGACCUGCAGAGACUUGCUACUUCAUUCUGGGGAGCAGAAGAGGUGCAUAAAAGCAGGGCAGAGAGAAGAAGACCCUUGGUCCAGAAUCAGCCGAGCUGCCGCUUCCUGCAUCUGCCAUUAGAAGCUCUUUCCACUGGCUUAUCUUCAAGGAUGCCUAUGACACAGUGGCCCUGCCCUCAUGUUCUUCUCUGAGGCCCAUCCCAACCUGGCCCUGUCUGCCAGGCUGCAGUUCUGGUCUCCUUGACCCAGAAAGCCCCUUCUCUUGGCUCGCUGGACACCAGCUCUUGCGGCUUAUGUUUCUUCAUGUCCUUCCUGCCCCGCCAGGCUGUCUGAGCAUUAAAGUGAGCUCGCACACUUGGA